This 454-nucleotide ribosomal RNA is filed under the name uncultured Leptolinea sp. Its description in RNAcentral is "bacterial SSU rRNA". It matches the Rfam family "Bacterial small subunit ribosomal RNA", at positions 917 to 1381 of the family's 1533-position model. Lineage: Bacteria; Bacillati; Chloroflexota; Anaerolineae; Anaerolineales; Anaerolineaceae. The record is from RNAcentral.
ACGGGCCCGCACAAGCAGCGGAGCGUGUGGUUUAAUUCGAUGCUACACGAAGAACCUUACCAGGGUUUGACAUGCAAGUGGUAGGAAACCGAAAGGUGACCGACCCUUCGGGGAGCUUGCACAGGCGCUGCAUGGCUGUCGUCAGCUCGUGUCGUGAGAUGUUCGGUUAAGUCCGCUAACGAGCGCAACCCUCGCUGUGUGUUAUAUGUGUCACACGGGACUGCCGGUCUUAAGCCGGAGGAAGGUGGGGAUGAUGUCAAGUCAGCAUGGCCUUUAUAUCCUGGGCUACACACACGCUACAAUGGCCAGCACAGUAGGUUGCUAAGCCGCGAGGUGGAGCCAAUCCAUAAAGCUGGUCUCAGUUCAGAUUGCAGGCUGCAACCCGCCUGCAUGAAGAUGGAGUUGCUAGUAACCGCAGGUCAGCUAUACUGCGGUGAAUACGUUCCCGGGGCUU